RNAcentral lists this ribosomal RNA (438 nucleotides) under uncultured bacterium. RNAcentral's name for it is "bacterial SSU rRNA". It matches the Rfam family "Bacterial small subunit ribosomal RNA", at positions 958 to 1397 of the family's 1533-position model. The record is from RNAcentral.
AACGCGAAGAACCUUACCUGGGCUUGAAAGUUAGUGACCGCUCCUGAAAGGGAGCUUUCCGAAAGGACACGAAACUAGGUGCUGCAUGGCUGUCGUCAGCUCGUGCCGUGAGGUGUUGGGUUAAGUCCUGUAACGAGCGCAACCCCUACCAUUAGUUGCCAGCGAGUAAUGUCGGGGACUCUAGUGGAACUGCCUGCGUAAGCAGUGAGGAAGGUGGGGACGACGUCAAGUCAUCACGGCCCUUACGUCCAGGGCUACACACGUGCUACAAUGGCCGAAACAAUGGGCAGCUACUUGGUAACAAGAUGCUAAUCUCUAAAUUCGGUCUCAGUUCGGAUAGAGGUCUGCAAUUCGACCUCUUGAAGUUGGAUUCGCUAGUAAUCGCGCAUCAGCAAUGGCGCGGUGAAUACGUUCCCGGGCCUUGUACACACCGACAUA